UACGUAGGGUGCGAGCGUUGUCCGGAAUUAUUGGGCGUAAAGAGCUCGUAGGCGGUUUGUCGCGUCGACUGUGAAAACCUACAGCUUAACUGUGGGCUUGCAGUCGAUACGGGCAGACUUGAGUUCGGUAGGGGAGACUGGAAUUCCUGGUGUAGCGGUGAAAUGCGCAGAUAUCAGGAGGAACACCGGUGGCGAAGGCGGGUCUCUGGGCAAUAACUGACGCUGAGGAGCGAAAGCGUGGGGAGCGAACAGG
RNAcentral lists this ribosomal RNA (253 nucleotides) under uncultured bacterium. Its description in RNAcentral is "partial 16S ribosomal RNA". It matches the Rfam family "Bacterial small subunit ribosomal RNA", at positions 524 to 776 of the family's 1533-position model. The record is from RNAcentral.